Molecule: ribosomal RNA, 1180 nt
Filed under: uncultured marine eukaryote
Lineage: Eukaryota
Description: SSU rRNA
Rfam family: Eukaryotic small subunit ribosomal RNA
Source: RNAcentral
AUGUCUAAGUAUAAAUGAAUACACAGUAAAACUGCGAACGGCUCAUUCAAACAGUUAUAGGUUAUUUGAUAUUUCGGAUACUUCCAAUAUGGAUACCCGUAGUAAUUCUAGGGCUAAUACAUGCGUUGCGGGGGACUUCACGGAACCCCAGUAUUAUUAGAUAUUCUUAAACCAUCAUUCCGCAAGGUCUACUGAGAUGAUUCAUGAUAACUAGUCGAAUGCCGGUUCGUACCGGCAUAUGUCAUUCAUGUUUCUGCUACCCAUCAGCUUGAUUGUAGUGUAUUGGACAACAAUGGCAUUCACGGGCAACCGGGGGAUUAGGGUUCGAUUCCGGAGAGGGAGCCUGAUAAACGGCUACCACUUCUACGGAAGGCAGCAGGCGCGAAAAUUAUCCAAUCCUGACUCAGGGAGGUAGUGAGACAAAUAAUGAACUGGGAUUAUUUUAUCCUGGGAUCACAAUGGGCUUGAUUUGCAAACUUGAUAUUAGCGAGGAACAAUUGGAGGGCAAGUCUGGUGCCAGCAGCCGCGGUAAUUCCAGCUCCAAUAGUGUAUAUUAACGUUCCUGCAGUUAUUCGAUGCUCGUAGUUGGAUUUCUGGGGGUCGAGACAGGGAGGGCGGCUAUGGCCGCCACCAGUCUUUUCCCUCGUCCGCCUGUUAACGGCGAUCGAGAUUGAAUUCUCGACGCCGGGCUCAGGCACUUUGAUUUAAUUCUCUUGAACAAAUUAUAGUGUUUCAGGCAGGCGUGCGCCGGAAUACAUUAGCAUGGAAUAAUCUUACGGACCGUGUGUGGGUUCGCCCACAUUUCCUUAUUUGUUGGUUUCUCUAUUUUAAGGACACGGAAUGAUUAAUAGGGAUAAUUUAAGAAUUAUAUCUCACAAGGGGAAGGCAUUAGUAUUUAAUUUCCAGAGUGAAAUUCUUUGAAAUUUCUUAAGACUAACUUAUGCAAAAGCAUUUUUCUGCCAAGAAUGUUUUUAUCUUAUCGACCAGACGAAAGUUAGGGGAUCAAAGACGAUCAAAUACCGUCCUAGUCUUAACCAUAAACUUUGCCGACUAGGGAUCGGAGGGCGUGCACAUUCGCCUUCGGCACCUUACGAAAAUCAUAAGUAUUUNGGUUCUGGGGUANUANGUCCCAGGCUGAAACUUUAAGGAUUGACGGAAGGCACCACCAGGAAGUGGACCU